RNAcentral lists this ribosomal RNA (253 nucleotides) under uncultured prokaryote. Its description in RNAcentral is "partial 16S ribosomal RNA". It matches the Rfam family "Bacterial small subunit ribosomal RNA", at positions 524 to 776 of the family's 1533-position model. The record is from RNAcentral.
GACGAACCGUCCUAACGUUGUUCGGAAUCACUGGGCUUAAAGGGCGCGUAGGCGGGCAUGCAAGUCCGGGGUGAAAGCUUUCGGCUUAACCGGAAAAGGGCCUUGGAUACUGCAUGUCUUGAGGGAGGUAGGGGUCUGUGGAACUUCGGGUGGAGCGGUGAAAUGCGUUGAUAUCCGAAGGAACGCCGGUGGCGAAAGCGACGGACUGGACCUCUUCUGACGCUGAGGCGCGAAAGCCAGGGGAGCAAACGGG